UUUCAUUACAAUGAAAGUAUAAUUGAAUCAGGUGGAUUCAACAUAGAAAAGUUUUAAUGAGACAAAUGUCAGGCAAGCAUAUCAACUUUAAAAAACAGAAAAUCUAAAAGUUUAAUUACAAAAACACUUGUACAGAAAACUUGGCAUUUCAACAGUUCCAAACACACAUAUACAAUUUUUUUCCCCUAAAAUUUGUCAGAAAUAAAACACUUGUCUCCGUUUCCUCAGUUGCUCCUUGUGUUUUAAAAGAAAGAAAUCUAUAACACUGAAUAGGCAACAGCUUAUUUCUUGAGAAGAACAUAUAAGUGCAGUAAUAUGUACAAAUUUACUGGGAAACAUGAAUUAGAUAUUGUGCUAGCCUGUAACCUCAUUUACCACCUCCUCUUAGAGCACAGAGAGGGAGGAGGUGGCACAGACCUGCUUUAUGGAACCGGACAGUUUUGUGGCAGCUGAAUUCCAGUCACCAGGGAGUCAGGAGGUGUGUAACUACUGGGAGAGCCAGCAUGUUUAAAAUGCUGAGAAAAUAAGAGAGGCUUAUUUUAUUAAACUAAGAGCUGCUUAUUUUGUGAAAAUGAUUGCAAACUGUAGGCUCUCUUGAGAUCUCAUGCACUGCUGAGUAUGCAAAUAUUUCAAGUCACUGUCAGGUGUCCCAUCUGACACCAGAGUCAGAAGAAUGAUAAUCUUUGUACCAAGUUAUAUCCUUUCCUGGUCACAAAAUCAGUGCUAACAAAGCUUCACAAAAUUGAACACAAAGGAGAAACAGAGAGAAAUAUUAGAAGGAGGGAAAGGACAGAAAGCCCCUGGCAGAAAGCAGACAAAAACUUCCAGAACCAGCUUGGAUGUCCUUCUGCCACAGACAGUGAGUUCUAGUUUGGACCUGGCAGGCAUGGAGUCUAAGAAAAGUGGAAGAAACAGCAGAUGAGAGCAAGAAAAUUGGAAAAUACAGGAAAAAAGCAGGAGACCGGUCUAGGUUUAUAGCAGUAGAUAAUGAUGGGUCUUAUUCUAAAAAAUUGCCAAGAGGUGGUAAGUGAGAUUCAGUGCAUGAGAAUUUGAUGUGUUCACAUAAGGUAUUAAAAAAAUUGUUUUGUUGUUGUUAUCCUUUGGACUACUAAAGAAAACAAGUAAGGAGAUGCUGAGAAGAUAUGAUGGUGCAGCAACAUGACAGGGAGUUUCUGCCUUGCACCCUGGUUGAUGAGCAUAUUGUGAGAGGGGCCAUACUUCCAUUCACCUGCCUUCAGUGGCGUGGUGCCUGGACAAUGAGCUCAGCAUGCUCUGCUUUGGUUCCAAAGAUCUCAGCUGCAACCUUCAGCCCUGUGCUCUAGGGCAUCAAAAACAAACAAACAAAAAACAGCAAAAAAAAACCCUGAGGUGAAGAAUCAGAAUCUUGCUUCCCCUUGCUGUUAAAGGAACCAGAAACCCCUCUUUGCUUUUGCUGUUU
Molecule: long non-coding RNA, 1438 nt
Organism: Galeopterus variegatus (Sunda flying lemur)
Lineage: Eukaryota; Metazoa; Chordata; Mammalia; Dermoptera; Cynocephalidae
Exons: 2
Source: RefSeq, a predicted model, not a curated record